Hibiscus syriacus is the source of this 218-nucleotide long non-coding RNA. RefSeq lists it as uncharacterized. The record is from RefSeq and is a predicted model, not a curated record. The transcript is spliced from 3 exons. NCBI's taxonomy places the organism in Eukaryota, Viridiplantae, Streptophyta, Magnoliopsida, Malvales, Malvaceae.
GUACUGUCAAGGAGAUAUGCUCCGUCGCCACCGGAGCCACGAAGAAGGAAAUUGGCCGUGUGAAAGAGUAUAUCGUGAAGCAAUUGGAGGUGGAGAUAGGCCAGUCCAUGGAAAUGGGCACAAUACAUGCCGGUGAAUUUCUCAGACGUUUCUGCUCGCAUCUUGGAAUGAGUAAUCAAACAGUCAAGGCUGCUCAAAAAGUUGUGCAUAAAUCUCAA